RNAcentral lists this ribosomal RNA (400 nucleotides) under uncultured bacterium. RNAcentral describes it as "bacterial SSU rRNA". It matches the Rfam family "Bacterial small subunit ribosomal RNA", at positions 356 to 773 of the family's 1533-position model. The record is from RNAcentral.
GGGGAAUAUUGGACAAUGGGGGAAACCCUGAUCCAGCAAUGCCGCGUGAGUGAUGAAGGCCUUAGGGUUGUAAAGCUCUUUUACCAGGGAUGAUAAUGACAGUACCUGGAGAAUAAGCUCCGGCUAACUCCGUGCCAGCAGCCGCGGUAAUACGGAGGGAGCUAGCGUUGUUCGGAAUUACUGGGCGUAAAGCGCGCGUAGGCGGCUAUUUAAGUCAGGGGUGAAAUCCCGGGGCUCAACCCCGGAACUGCCUUUGAAACUGGGUAGCUAGAAUCCUGGAGAGGCGAGUGGAAUUCCGAGUGUAGAGGUGAAAUUCGUAGAUAUUCGGAAGAACACCAGUGGCGAAGGCGACUCGCUGGACAGGUAUUGACGCUGAGGUGCGAAAGCGUGGGGAGCAAAC